This is a long non-coding RNA of Trifolium pratense (red clover), 296 nucleotides long. RefSeq lists it as uncharacterized. Lineage: Eukaryota; Viridiplantae; Streptophyta; Magnoliopsida; Fabales; Fabaceae. The transcript has 3 exons. The record is from RefSeq and is a predicted model, not a curated record.
AUUUUCUCCUAUUAAAGUUUGUAUUUUUUUGGUGUCUACUAGAUCUACAAUCGAUGCAACAAAUAUCAACUCAAAACCGUAAUAUUAAGAUCUUGUCUCACACAUAACUUUGAUUCAGAUCUACUAGCGAUGCAAAAAAUCUCAACUCGAGACUAUCACAACAAGAUUUUUUCUUCCACAACUUCGAUUCAGUGUAUUUGUUGUUAAACUUAGGACAAGAAAAUGAAGCACCGAACGGAAAAGUCGAUGUAUGUCCUGACCCUCUAGACUACGACAAGCAUAUUGUGCUUACCGUU